UACGUAGGGGGCGAGCGUUGUCCGAAGUUACUGGGCGUAAAGCGCACGUAGGCGGAUUGUUAAGUCAGGGGUGAAAUCCUGGAGCUCAACUCCAGAACUGCCUUUGAUACUGGCGAUCUCGAGUCCGGGAGAGGUGAGUGGAACUGCGAGUGUAGAGGUGAAAUUCGUAGAUAUUCGCAAGAACACCAGUGGCGAAGGCGGCUCACUGGCCCGGUACUGACGCUGAGGUGCGAAAGCGUGGGGAGCAAACAGG
This 253-nucleotide ribosomal RNA is filed under the name uncultured bacterium. Its description in RNAcentral is "partial 16S ribosomal RNA". It matches the Rfam family "Bacterial small subunit ribosomal RNA", at positions 524 to 776 of the family's 1533-position model. The record is from RNAcentral.